This 253-nucleotide ribosomal RNA is filed under the name uncultured bacterium. Its description in RNAcentral is "partial 16S ribosomal RNA". It matches the Rfam family "Bacterial small subunit ribosomal RNA", at positions 524 to 776 of the family's 1533-position model. The record is from RNAcentral.
UACGGAGGGUGCAAGCGUUGCUCGGAAUUACUGGGCGUAAAGCGCGUGUAGGCGGUUUCGCGUGUCUGAUGUGAAAUCCCCGGGCUCAACCCGGGAAGUGCAUUGGAAACUGCGAGACUAGAGUCCCGGAGAGGAAGGUGGAAUUCCAGGUGUAGCGGUGAAAUGCGUAGAUAUCUGGAAGAACACCGGUGGCGAAGGCGGCCUUCUGGACGGUGACUGACGCUGAGACGCGAAAGCGUGGGGAGCAAACAGG